This is a non-coding RNA of Paramuricea clavata, 1260 nucleotides long. The record is from the annotation of a GenBank genome assembly. NCBI's taxonomy places the organism in Eukaryota, Metazoa, Cnidaria, Anthozoa, Malacalcyonacea, Plexauridae.
AAGAAAACAUAUUCGUUUGCUCAUAAAAUCACCUGUGAAUAUUUUUUACCGAAAUUGGAGGCUUCGUUUAGCAAAAGAUCGCAUUGAGAGGCCAAGUCAUGCUGGAUAUACGUAGAAGAAGACAUCGUGUUCUAAUUGCUAUUUUCCGUCUAUAAAAUAAAUACAUAAGUAUAAAGUAAAUAAAAAACCAUAAUUUAAAGUUUUUAAACCAAGAUACAAUUUAGAUGAAUAGUUUGACUCAAACACCAUUAAUAUUAGUCUGCCGAUAGUAUUUUCCAUUCUAAUAUGUACGUGAUCAUAUUAUACAUGACAUUCAAAAACUCAUUAAUAAUUCAUGAGGAAAACACAAAGAAAAAUCAUAAACGUGUCGUAUUUUUAUAUGUGAUAGAGAUUUCCCUUGAUUUCCAUAAAUUUAACUUUGAUUUUCUCGACUUACGCAAUGUAUUUUUUGAACAUUUCUUCGCCAAUGAACUUACUAGAUCGAUCGUUUCUGAAGCAAUUUAAAACAUUCGCAGUGCGUGCUUUUAUCAGACCUAAAGAUACUCGGCUUCGCCUCGUAUCUUUAUAUCUGAUAAAACACUGCUGCUCAUGUUUUGAAUAUAGUACAUAAUUUACUUAACAAUCAGUGGCAUAUAGCGAAGCAAAUUACCUCCAGAACUGUUCUUGCCAAAUGCCGAAUCGGGACUAAAAAAAUGGGAUUGGAGCUGCAAUGUCUGAAGUAAUGUUCCUAACAACCAUUAAUAAUUCAUGAGAAAAACACAAAGAGAAAUCAUAAGCGUGUCGUAUCUUUGUACUAUUUAGAGAUUUUCCUUGAUAUACAUAAACUUUAACUUUGAUUUUCUCGACUUGCACAACGUAUUUUUUAUAAAUUACUUCGCCAAUGACUCGGCUUCACCUCGUAUUUUAAUAUUUUAUAUCUGAUGAAACACUACUGCUCAUGUUUUGAAUAGUACAUAAAACAUGAAAGGUUUUGUAGAUGAAAUUAUCGAGUGGAAAUUUAUAUACAUUUAUUAGACCUAACCAGGAACAGUUGCGAAAAAUGCAACUAUAGGUCCCUGACAGGAAUUGAACCUGCGGCCCUGCGAUUCCGGUGCAGUGCUCUAACCAACUGAGCUACAGAGGACAGUUGUAACCAUAAGUUCAUGUAUAUGUACUACGGUACUGUCAUGUUAAGGUAUGGGUCAAGUAUCAAGAUUUUGUUGGAAUCUCACUCGAUUGAAUAAUAAUAUAGUUGGAGAAUUAGCCAUUCCGAAGUUGAUG